GACUCUCGGCAACGGAUAUCUCGGCUCUUGCAUCGAUGAAGAACGUAGCGAAAUGCGAUACUUGGUGUGAAUUGCAGAAUCCCGUGAACCAUCGAGUCUUUGAACGCAAGUUGCGCCCAAAGCCAUUAAGCUGAGGGCACGCCUGCCUGGGUGUCA
RNAcentral lists this ribosomal RNA (156 nucleotides) under Phaseolus vulgaris (common bean). RNAcentral describes it as "rRNA 5_8S_rRNA". It matches the Rfam family "5.8S ribosomal RNA". Rfam says of the family: 5.8S ribosomal RNA (5.8S rRNA) is a component of the large subunit of the eukaryotic ribosome. The record is from RNAcentral. Lineage: Eukaryota; Viridiplantae; Streptophyta; Magnoliopsida; Fabales; Fabaceae.